AGCUGGGUCCUCAUCCCGGAGCGAGAGAGGCAUCUGCUGACCAGGCGCGGGGCUGAGCGCACUCCUUCCACUGUACUGGGGGUGUACAGUGAGGAGUGGACGGGUUCGCUCUGCGCCCCCCUUACCCUAGCCAUCUGCGCCGCCUCCCUGGCCCCUCAGCAGGUGGUGCGGGCCCGGACAGCGGCUGGGGGCCAGAGGAACUGCGGGGAGAGCGUGGUGGUGCCGGUGCCCGUCCAACCCAAACUUUUUAGUCUGAGUGGUGGCCCGCGACGCCCCGCUUGGGUCUUCUUUCCAUCCACUGGGGAUGGGGGCGGGGGUGGGGGUAGCCGGCGGCCGUGGUUCCGGAGCGGGAGUCGGAGGUGAGUGUGCGAACUGGACCGGGGCCCCAGAGACUUCGGACUCGCUCUCGGGGAGAACGGUGACCGAGGAGCCCCGGUGGAGUUGAGCUCAGAGUAUUGAUGCUAGCAGAAGCAGACAGACCCCAGAUAGCCUUCCAGCUGCGUGCCAGGGAUGGUGCCUUGAGUGAAUGACCCCCUUGGAGAACAUUCUUCCGCAUCCCUCGCCUCAA
This 568-nucleotide long non-coding RNA is filed under the name Homo sapiens (human). Its description in RNAcentral is "non-protein coding lnc-TAPT1-2:1". The record is from RNAcentral. Lineage: Eukaryota; Metazoa; Chordata; Mammalia; Primates; Hominidae.